RNAcentral lists this ribosomal RNA (1301 nucleotides) under uncultured organism. Its description in RNAcentral is "SSU rRNA". It matches the Rfam family "Bacterial small subunit ribosomal RNA", at positions 80 to 1413 of the family's 1533-position model. The record is from RNAcentral.
CGCCCCGGAUGGGCACUGGCAGACGGGUGAGUAACGCGUGGCAACAUACCCUUUCCUGCGGAAUAGCUCCGGGAAACUGGAAUUAAUACCGCAUACGCCCUACGGGGGAAAGAUUUAUCGGGGAAGGAUUGGCCCGCGUUGGAUUAGCUAGCUGGAGGGGUAAAGGCCUACCAAGGCGACGAUCCAUAGCUGGUCUGACAGGAUGAUCAGCCACAUUGGGACUGACACACGGCCCAAACUCCUACGGGAGGCAGCAGAGGGGAAUAUUGCACAACGGGCGCAAGCCUGAUCCAGCCAUGCCGCGCGAGUGAUGAAGGCCUUAGGGUUGUAAAGCUCUUUCACCGAUGAAGAUAAUGACGGUACUCGGAGAAGAAGCCCCGGCUAACUUCGUGCCAGCACCCGCGGUAAUACGAAGGGGGCUAGCGUUGAUCGGAAUUACUGGGCGUAAAGCGCACGUAGGCGGAUAUUUAAAUCAGGGGUGAAAUCCCGCAGCUCAACUGCGGAACUGCCUUUGAUACUGGGUAUCUUGAGUAUGGAAGAGGUAAGUGGAAUUCCGAGUGUAGAGGUGAAAUUCGUAGAUAUUCGGAGGAACACCAGUGGCGAAGGCGGCUUACUGGUCCAUUACUGACGCUGAGGUGCGAAAGCGUGCGGAGCAAACAGGAUUAGAUACGUUGGUAGUCCACUCUGUAAACGAUGAAUGUUAGCCGUCGGGCAGUAUAUUGUUUGGUGGCGCAGCUAACGCAUUAAACAUUCCGCCUGGGGAGUACGGUCGCAAGAUUAAAACUUAAAGGAAUUGACGGGGGCCCGCACAAGCGGUGGAGCAUGUGGUUUAAUUAGAAGUAACGCGCAGAACCUUACCAGCUCUUGACAUUCGGGGUAUGGGCAUUGGUGAUGAUGUCGUUCAGUUAGGCUGGCCCCAUAACAGGUGGUGCAUGGUUGUUGUCAGCUAGUGUAGUGAGAUGUUGGGUUAAGUCUCGCAACGAGCGCAACCCUCGUCCCUUAGUUGCCAGCAUUUAGUUGGGCGCUUUAAGGGGACUGCCGGUGAUAAGCCGAGAGGAAGGUGGGGAGUGACGUCAAGUCCUCAUGGCCCUUUCGGGCUGGGUUACACUCGUGCUACAAUGGUGGUGUCAGUGGGCAGCGAGACAGUGAUGUCGAGGUAAUCUCCAAAAGCCAUAUCAGUUGGGAUUGCAUUAUGCAACUGGCGUGCAUGAAGUGGGAAUCUCUAGUAAUAGCUGAUCAGCAUGGUGCGGUGAAUACUUUCCCGGGCAUUGUACACACCGCCCGUCACACCAUGGGAGUUG